Long non-coding RNA from Gasterosteus aculeatus aculeatus (three-spined stickleback), 8151 nucleotides. Lineage: Eukaryota; Metazoa; Chordata; Actinopteri; Perciformes; Gasterosteidae. The record is from Ensembl.
UGCCCCUUCUCCUGGAGCACAAUUGUUUCUUCAUUCAUCAAAAUUUUAGAAUAACUAUUACUCGCACUGUCAUCAAAUCCCCCCAAAUGUGUUUUGACAUUCGACGGGGCAUUUAUUUGAGUUCUUGUGAGAAUUUCACCGAACUGCUCCGCGGUGCCCACAAGCCGCGCUCCUUCCUCCUCCUCCGCCUAUAGUGCUCGUGCAGUACUGACACACAGGUGAUGACGGUGUUUGUGAAAUCCCCCGACGUCGUUUAGUGGUAAAUUACUACCAGUACAGAUAGUUUUAGGAUGAAAAUAAAAGAAAUAAGCCUCGCCACAGCUCCGUCACUUUCUACCCUGUCUCCUCCACCUGUCACUCACCUAAUCAGUUCAUUCAGUGCACCUGCUAGUCACAAACACUACUGAGACAUCACAUAUAGGCAGUGCUGUAGUGGUAAAAUUAGAGGUGGGUAAACUCUGAAUUUUGUGAUCAUACAGACCUCGACGCAAUGUGAAGCAACGCAACACAAAGCGUCGCGACUCUGUAAGGCUGUCCUGGCUAUAUUGCAUUAUGUUAUCAGUAAAAGUCAUAUACAAUCAAUGACAAUGAAUACAUGUGUUAGUAGUUUGUAGUUCAUUAAAUCUAAGAAAACAGUGAAGAAAAGUAUGUCAACACAACACAACAACACAAUUGCAGAUUAAGAACUAUCUACAUACGGAGUCUCCUUUUUACAGUAGUGCCCAGAGGGCCUCCUUGUCCUCCACGUCAGGUCCUGCCUUGCACAGAGGAGCCAUGAACCCCCAGAACACGCGUUACACACCCCCCCCCGUCGGACCUUCUCGACCGGUCCGCGAAAUAUUGUCUGACAUGAAACCGGUCCGUGAGGUAAAAAGGUUGGGGACCACUGGGCUGAUCCACAACGUGUGUUUACACACCUCCUGGAUCCUGUUUGAUGUCGCUGCUGCAGCCGCAAGGCACUGAUUGGAUGCUCACAGACCGUAAUACAGCGCAGAUGAACAUGAUUCAGACUACGGCGUUUAUAUGUUCAACAAUAGGAAACGUAGUCUUAGCUGUUUUAAAAUUACACCAAGUUUAUUUCGGAUUAUUCCAACGGAAGAAUACAAGGCGCAGGUAACUUUGAGGUGCGUAAACGCUAUUUCCAAAAUUCCAGAGGUGCGUAAACAGGGUUUACGUGCGUUUACCCUCCACUACAGCCCUGGGUGGGACGUCAUGUGUACAUACACUUGUGGAUGUGUGGCCGAGGAACAGUUGUCUCUCAGAGACGACCGUUGGACCACAGCUGGUACUCAGCAAUAAAACGGUCACGAGCAGCUGUCGUUUGGACCGAACUGAUCUGUGGGAGAGAAACCGAUGACCAGCCGCAUACAGUGUGUUUGGGCCAGAUAUUCCCUGUAUUAACCGGGCUUCAUCUAUUUUAAAAUAGGUUUGAGUUUCAGCGUGAAAAUAAUUUACACUUUUACAACUCAAGUUGAAUUCAAGCAGAAACGAGCCCUGAUUCCCUGCUGGGAGAGCAAAGUGACGGAUGAGCUCCCAGAUAAAAAAUGCUUACAAAUUAAUCGGAAAUAUGAUGACUCGAGUUCAAAUCACGCUUCCAUGUUAAGACAGCCUGGGGCGACGAUGGACAGCCAACCGCGUAAAUUGAUACGCACAUAGAGCAGAAACCCACUCAUGUUGCUCAGACAAUACAAAUAACACACACAACAGCAACAAUGCCUUGUAUCCGCUUCUCUCAUUCUGCUUUCAUCCUCCCCUGUCUCUUCCUCUCCUCUCCGCCGGGGCCGAGGAGCUUCUCAUGGAGUAAAAACACAGCUCUAAUUACGCAUGCAAUGAAACCCACUUCUGGCUCCAGAUGAUGUUUGUGAAGCUUCCCUCACGCGGUUACGUGACAUGGUGAAUGCACCCAUCACCUUAUGUAACCCUUAUAUGCCUUACUGCAGAAAAUGACACACUUCUCUCAUGCUAAGAAAAGCACUGAUGACAGCAGAGCGGUGGAUGCAGUAACAGUGAUGAAAGCUGAGCUGCAGCAUCCUAUCACACGCACACUGUGUAAGUGUUGUGCCACAUUGAAUCCGUCUCUGACGGGAAUACGGGCCGCUUAGUCUCCGGGUCUCUUCAGGAAUCUGCUUUGUCAAACGCCUAUUUUUUUGUUUUCAGGAUCCUAAACUGAUGUGAAGGACUGUCGUGGCAGUUUGUCACGCUAAUCCUGUUCUAUUUUAAACUCGCAGUCUUUCAAGUCCCAUGCCGGGCGGUGCAGCACAACACAGCCGGAAGACUGUCACCAGAUCAUAACAAGCGCGAUGAAAGUUAUAUAAAUAGUGGAGCGAUGAAACAUGAAACAAUCCUGGUGAUCCAGCUGGAAACCUCACGAUAUGUAGGUUACCGCCACGCGUUGUUUCUCGUCCCGUCAGCCCACCUCACCCCUCAUCCUAUGGAGGGACAGUCCGCCCGUGAGCCUGGAUUAAGAGACCACUUUUGUUGUAGAAGGGAUUAGUGUGUGUGUUUUUGUGAGAGCGUUUCUGUCCAUCGCAAUUGUGUUUGCAUGCAUGCAUUUAGAUAUUCAAUGCGUCAUCAGUGCAGCAUGGUUGCCUCUACUGUACGUCUGUCCGAUUGCAGCUGUGGAUGCCUCGGUGCACUUGUGUGGGUGUUUGCAUGUAUGCGCAUAUUAUUUUACUCGACCGUCAUCGCUUUAUGAGCGCACAAAACCCCGCUGUGUUCUUGAUUGUGAAUAGUGAGCCCUGCUUGUACAAGAACACACACCCCAACCUGCUGACCGUUAUCUAGAAAUAUUGUACUAAAAAGGGGCUACCCAAAGAAUGCAGAUCGCCCUCUGGUUGUUGCACACUCCACGUUGUAAUAUAUUUUAUUUAAUGCAACUAGGAUGUGGCAGAAACAAUUAUAAAAAUAAUUAUGUGGGGAUUUCCAGAUGUGUGUUUGAAGGAAUGAGAAUAGAUAGAAUAGACUCCAGCAACGUUUGUGGUAUGCUGACCAAUGUGUUUAAGCAUGUGUCAUCUAGGACAAAUUCUAAACACCUUACAGUUUUCCAAUUACAGCUUUUUUUGCAUUUGAUGUCUAUGACUAAAGGAUCAGUGCACAUGAACUUUGAAAACUGGCCUAGUUUCCAUUUGAGGCUCAGUCACACCAGAAUUGAGCGAAGAGGCAACUAUUCAUUGGUAAAAUCUAGAAGUGUCCAAUAGUAUAAUAAUAAUAACUGCAGUCUGGCCUUUUAACGUUCUAAUAACCACAUAGACUGGUUAAUCAGGCUCUACCCGCAGACGGCGACCGUAAAUGCAAAAUCAGUUGGCUUCAUUCAUCCGGGUGGAUGUUUAAGUUCCUCCGCUUGCCGACGUGCAGAAAGCACAGCGGACGCUCGCUGACCAGAUACUGUGUGUGGAACCCGGCGUCCUUAGUCAUUGUUCUUGGGGACUUUAACAAAGGAAACCUCAGCCAUGAGGUCCCCGAAUAUAAACAACUAGUUAAAUGCACCACCAGGGUGAGUUACAACAAUGCCUACCCCUGGUUCACAACUGAACUCGGACGGCUUCGGUUACAAGAGGAUCAGGCGUUUAAAAGUGGGGACGUCAAAAUACAUGUUUGGCAACGACUGUAUUCAGAGAGGCUCCAACAGCAGUUCUCUGCAUCAGUCUGGAAAGGCCUCAGAAUGAUGUCCAACUACAAGCGCAAAGCGCCCGCCCCCCGCCCACACACACUUCAUGAACGACCCCCGCCUGGCUGACGAGCUGAACAAUUUCUACUGCCGCUUUGACAGACAAAAGAGCAGUCCUGAACUCAACCACAGCCUUCACACCCCCCACUCCCACCGCCCCGGCACAAGAGGGGCCCAUGCCCCCCCCCACCAACAACCUGCUCAUCCUCCAUCACAUUGACGCCUCUCUCUACUCAGGAGAGGGACGUCAAUAGGAUAUUUAAAUCAAAGCAGAUGCUGAUCAGUUGUCUCCGGUGUUUACCAACAUCUUCAACGCCUCACUGGAAACCUGCCAUGUGCCAGCCUGCUUCAAGGCCUUCACCACGAUCCCAAAGAAACAAGGAUGACAGGAUUCAAUCAUUACAGGCCCGUCGCCUUGACCUCUGUGGUCAUGAAGUCCUUUGAACGCCUUGUCCUGUCCCACCUCAAAACCUUUACCACCCCCUACUGGACCCCCUGCAGUUCGACUCAGUCAACAUGGCCCUUCACUCCAUCCUCCAGCAUCUGGACUCCCCAGGAACCUGCGCCAGGAGGUAGCUGUACACCAACAGCUGCACCUCCAGCCACCUGUCCGUCAGGCUCCUGAAGUUUGCGGAUCAUUGGACGGAUCUCUGGUGGGAAUGAAUCUGCCUACAGCUCAAAUAUUGACCAACUGGUGACGCGGUGCAGUCAAAACAACCUAGAGCUCAAGGCUCUAAAGACAGUGGUGAUAGUGGUGAUAGUUGGGGAUUUCCGCAGGAACACAGUCCCACCAUCACCCCGUGUGACUCCCCCGCCAACGCUGUGGACUCCCUCCGUUUCCUGGGCUCCAUCACCACCCAGGACCUGAAGUGGGAGCUGAACAUCAGCUCCAUCACCAAGAAGGCUCAGCAGAGGUUGUUCUUCCUGAGGCAGCUGAAGAAAUUCAACCUCCCAAAGACGAUGAUGGUCCACUUCUACACGGCCAUCAUGGAGUCCAUCCUCUGCUCCUCCAUCACCGUCUGGUAUGCUGCAGCCACAGCCAAGGACAAGGGCAGGCUGCAGCGUGUCCUCCGCUCUGCAGAGAGGGUGAUCGGCUGCAAUCUCCCGUCCCUGCAGGACUUGUUUGCCUCCAGGACUCUGAGGCAGGCAGGACGGAUUGUAGCCGACCUUCCCGUCACAGACUCUUUGAGCCCCUUCCCUCGGGCAGGAGGCUGUGGUCCAUCAGGACAUGAAUCUAUGCCUCAAUACUAAUAAUGUCAUAAUCAUAACACUCUAAUUCUAACUUUCCAUGUGAGUCUGUAAUCAUGAGCACAGAAAGACAUGAUAACGAGUCCAAAAGUGUGACAAAAACGAACCACAGGGCUAUUAAGGUACAUACAACUAUUAUGAAACAUUACACCAUGACAAGCUCAAAAUCCUCAAAAUGACUUCUUAAAAUGAAGAACAUGCGAAACUAUUGCCUUUUAGAGUCUUUUGAGCAGAGGCGGUUAGUCUUGGGGGGAGCGGGUGGAUGCUACGCUACGAUUUCCCAGUCGGCAUUUGAGGUCUUAGCAAAGGGUCACGCUGCCUGGUGAUCGCACAAGAAGCACCCAGAAGCAGAUACUGUAGAUCUACUCGGCUUCCACUUUUGAGGAGGUCUGCCAUAUGGUCACUUAUGGUGUAAGCAAAAUAUUUCAUAGCCUGCAACAUGUAUUCUGUAUGUCAUGCAUCAAGAGAGAAUAGCGUACUGUGUCAACUGUUAUUGAGUCCUAGUGAAUAGUGCACAUUGCUUUCCCCUCAAGAGUUGCCAGUUGGUAAUUGAGUUCUUUCUCCUCCUCCGGCUCCAUAAUGGGCUUGUCAUGCUGUGCUGCUCAGUCCGUCUUCAAAAGAGAACCAACUCUCUGUGGCUCAGAGGCGGAUGUAAACUAGGUCGCCAAAACGAUACAAGGAAUUUUGCGAGACGGGAAAGAGGGUUUGUGCGUGUGUAGUAUAUGUGGUGGUGCAUUAUUAAGGUGUGAUUGCUCGGGCUUCGGUGAAUGCUUCUGUUUUUUUUUAUUUCGGUCUGGGGAAAGACUUCCAUGUGGCAUGUGUGCAUCAAAAAUGCCAUGAAGGCGUUCACUCAUUCUCAAGGCUUAUUUCUUUUGUUUGACUUGUGAGUUACGUAAAAACUGAGGCCGAGUUGAAGGUAAGACCGUGCAAGUACGAGGGGUACGGAGAGAAAAGAGGGCAGCGUGUUCCCCUGCCAGUGCGGUCGUCAACUAUAACCUCAGAUAACUGUUAUCGUGGCUGACAGGCGGAGAAAGGCGCCUUUUAACCCUCGGAGUUCUCGCGUGUUAGCAUUAAAAUGCCUCUUGUGUGCAAGAGGUGGAAGAUCAGCUCCUUCCGCUUUUGUCUUGUGGUCAUUGUCCCGUCCCUAAAAGGUGUCACACCAUUAAAAGUCCCCUUUUCCUUCCCAUUCCUGCCCUAAUGCGGCCAGGUUUUGGAAACAUUAAUAGGCCCAGAGUGUGUCUAAUGGUGGGAGACGGGGGGGCGUUCUUGCAUGUGAGGGUAACGGCCCGGCUGAGUGCCAGACCUCGGAAGCUUUUGCUUUUUACAUUGGUGAGAUCCCAUGAGGCCUUUCAACGUCUUACCGUCAAUAAGAGCUCUGUGUGUGUGUGUGUGUGUGUGUGCUGACAUUGGGUGCGUGCCUGCACGCAUGCAUACAGGAUUGAGUAUGCAUGUGUUCAUGCUUGCAAGUAGAUGAAUUAUAGAAAAGGCACUCGUUUCCUGACAUCAGACUAUCAGAGAAGCUUCUGUAGCAGCAGCGGCUGGUGGGCGUAGUUUAUAUCAACCGCUUUAAAGUCAUUUACAUGGUGAACCAGCGAUACAGUUGUUGACACGCAGGCCCUCCACCCCCCAGAAUCUGCUGACCUUUUAUAGUAAUCGUUUUUAAGUCAGCAGUCCAGAAAACAGAACGUGAAACAAGACAUCUAGUGUCAUUAAAAAUAAACGCUGCAGUUGUUCAGAUUUGACUCAUUACCCGCAUGAAUUAGUUUUUAUGUGGAAUUUACUUCCCCAGAGACAAGUAUGUUUGGUUCUUAACCCCAUGGCCAGGCCCAUGGAUGUGGAAUAUAAAGAGGAGAAAAGGGCAAAUUUCCAUCUCAGAUUCUCGUGAGAGAAGUUGCAGCGGUUGAUGAAAAGGAGGGUCGUAGACGGUCAAAGUUAAGAUUAAGAAAAAACAUGUAAUUGUGUGGUAAAAAGAUUUUAUGGGAAUUCAAAUAUCUUUGCGUUACAUGCAAUUGGGGUUCAGCUAAACACUUUUCCAUAAAGCUGCAGAAUGUGCAAACAAAAAGCUUUGUGACGAUGUGAGAGAACACGUGCAAGAAGUCUCUGCUCACGCAUCACAUAUGAGCCAAAGGGGAAGGUGUAGCGUGAAGCCUUCUUCCCAUGUGUGUCUGCAUGUGAGUGCGUAACCCAUGUGAGAAGUGAAAAGAAGAAGCCUGGUAAAGCUGAAGUCAUGAGUCCAGCUGCCAAGGAAACGUGUCCUCGGCCAUUGAUGAGCACACGCAGCUUCAGUCUGCGGUGAGGAGGUGAAGCUGUGACUGAAACACAGCAAACUGCACAGCUGCUUUGAACAUUGUGCACCGCGUGACUGCAGUGGUGUGUUUUCCUUUGGGGGCUUUGACCGACUCACAUCGUCACAGGCUUCGGCCUGAUGACCUACAAUUUUCCUCAUUAUACAUAAAAGAAGUGGGGGUCAGAGGGUGAUUAGAGCGAUGAUUAUGGUAAUGCUCUUGUUAUAAUGUCGGCCGGCCAAAGGAAGGGAGACGGGGGUUAAAACGAGGACGAGGAGAGGGGGUCCAAAGGCCGAGAAAGGCUAUGAUAAUGGGGCCAUGUGGUGAAUGACGUUAGCUGUACGGCCGACAUUACAGAGUAAAGGAACGGAAUUUACUGUGAAUUCGGGGACUCAUAGGAAUGCGCUUUUUGGUGGAAUUUGGAGAUAAAAACACAUCAGCGUAAUUUAUGGUUUGGGAGGAGAAAGAGAUGAAGACGGAUUAUGAUAAACUGUUGUUGACUCCAGGCUUACAGCUGGUUGAUUGUUCAUCUGUCUGUUUUCCCCAAAGACUAUUGGACACAACCAAUCCUCUUACAUGCACCCCGACCUGCAGCCAUUUAAUCCACCGUCUUCCCAGGAACGGAGCACUGCAGAGUCGUACCCAUGACUUUCGUUAUCGUUAUUGGUUCCUUUGGGUUCUAUUUAGCUAAAGAUCAAUAAUAAAGUAAAAGUCUUUUAAUUUUGGGCUCUCAAUCUGCUUUAACGUCUCAAAAUGAUGCCUCUCUUCUGGUUUUCACAAACGAUUUUGACUUAUUUGUUAUGAAACUUAAGAUCCUUCACUUAUCGUAAUUAUUCCAACACAAACACAAUUUUUGCUAUCAUACGAACCGUUCUAUGAGAAUGAAUGAGGAUCAGCUAGUUACGUGGUUUGCCACUGGCAUAACCGCCCCGUCUCAUGUUUUUGUUGUUG